This 82-nucleotide transfer RNA is filed under the name Candidatus Thorarchaeota archaeon. RNAcentral describes it as "tRNA-Leu". It matches the Rfam family "tRNA". From Rfam's summary of the family: Transfer RNA (tRNA) molecules are approximately 80 nucleotides in length. Their secondary structure includes four short double-helical elements and three loops (D, anti-codon, and T loops). RNAcentral also lists the same sequence under 1 other name. The record is from RNAcentral. Lineage: Archaea; Promethearchaeati; Candidatus Thorarchaeota.
GCGGGGGUUCCCGAGUGGUCAAAGAGGUCAGACUUAGGCUCUGAUGCUUAGCGCUCCGAGGGUUCGAAUCCCUCCCCCCGCA